Molecule: ribosomal RNA, 326 nt
Filed under: uncultured eukaryote
Lineage: Eukaryota
Description: partial 18S ribosomal RNA
Rfam family: Eukaryotic small subunit ribosomal RNA
Source: RNAcentral
CCCUUAGAUGUCCUGGGCCGCACGCGCGCUACACUGAACGGAUCAGCGCGUUUUCCCUUCCCGAGAGGGACGGGUAGCCUGCUGAACCCCGUUCGUGGUAGGGAUCGGGGCUUGCAAUUAUUCCCCGUGAACCAGGAAUGCCCAGUAAGUGCAAGUCAUAAGCUUGCGUUGAUUACGUCCCUGCCCUUUGUACACACCGCCCGUCGCUACUACCGAUUGAACGUUUUAGUGAGGUACUCGGACUGAGCCUCAGAAGAUUCACGUCUUUUGUGCUGCUCGGGAAGAUUCCCAAACUUGAGCGUUUAGAGGAAGUAAAAGUCGUAACA